Molecule: RNA transcript, 669 nt
Organism: Mercenaria mercenaria
Lineage: Eukaryota; Metazoa; Mollusca; Bivalvia; Venerida; Veneridae
Exons: 3
Source: RefSeq, a predicted model, not a curated record
CUAGGAGUCGAAAAGAAAGAAUUCAUCACACAGUUAUAUAGUCAGAAUAUACAAACGACUUUUGAACAACCCUUUCACGAAGGCUAUAUAAAUAAAGUGCCAGUUACCAAUGAGUCGUACAGUUACCGUUACUAAGGUUAGAAGAUAUUACUUAAAGAUUUAGCGAUGGGAUAUCGUGCGCUGUUUCUUGUGGUAUUGAUUGGCAUGGCCCUGGCAGGGCCUGCCGCAGACAUCAGUCAGAUUAGGAUUACCAGUUGUACCUGCUCAGUAUGCAACUUUAAGCAGAUUGGUUAUGCGUUACGUGGUACUGUUCGGGCCAAGUUUAAUGGGUCACAGGUUAGUUGUUCACAAACGGCCAUAACCAACUGGAGACGUAUAGUUACUGGUUGGAAUCACAGCUGCAGAAUCAGUGGGUCCUCUGGAGGGAAGUUUGAAGUCAGUUAUAACAACGGGGCUCAUCAAAUAUGUGGAAGAAAUUACGAUCAUGUGUAUUUAAACAGUUGCCGCGGGACCCCGUGCAGUAACAUUGGUUAAGGACGUGGCAGAUUCUACUAAUACCUUAGUUGCUAUAAGAAUAUACUGUCAUUUUGUAUUGACGUUAGACAUAACAGAAAAAUAUAUUAAUUACCUGUGUAAGAUGAAUUAUGAAAUAAAGUUUAGUGUCUGUUA